UGUGGUUACUUGGUGCACUAUAAAUACAUCGACCAUCGACCUAACACAAUCAAAACACUUAGAAUUUUCAUCCUUAUUCAUAUUUUCUUUCAACCAAACAUAUCUUCCAGAUAAACUCUUUGUUGAAGUUCAGUCUCAGAGACAAUGAGUUUUUCAUCCAUAAUGGCAUUGGUGCAUUACAACGGUCACAUCUUCAAAGAUCAACAAAUGUCCUCAAUAUAUGUCAGUAAAAUUAGUAGCUAUGUUGAACUGAAUAAUUACAUGACAUUAUCAUUUCUUAAACAAACCAUUUUAAAUUUAUUCAUAGCUUCUUAUGGCAAAUCAUACACGCUUGAUUUGUGUUACCGUUAUCCAGUCACAAUGGAUGACUUCAACAUUUCUUACCGUUCCAUGAUAAUUGAAUAUGACUAUGAUGUACCAACUGUGAUUAGUUAUGCAAAAAGAUACGAAGCUCAUGUGCAGUUUGAAAUCAUGGCGUUUAUUCGAGAAUAUAACCACACACCAACCAAUAUGAUUUGGGAGCUCAUGGAAAAACAACUAGACGAUUCCUUGAAUAUAGAGUGAUACUGUCAAUCUCAUGUGUUUUUUUCUUUCUUUUAAUUUCUAAUGUAUUUUUUUGUUCUGUUUCAAGAUAUGUUUAUCAUGUUCCAAAGUUAAUAAUAUUACUAAUCUAUUGUUUA
Vigna angularis (adzuki bean) is the source of this 680-nucleotide long non-coding RNA. RefSeq lists it as uncharacterized. The transcript is spliced from 2 exons. The record is from RefSeq and is a predicted model, not a curated record. Lineage: Eukaryota; Viridiplantae; Streptophyta; Magnoliopsida; Fabales; Fabaceae.